UCUAGAAUAUCCUAAAAAGGCAGGAAGCAAGUUAUGUCCAUUGUUUUGCAACCUCACAGGGUCUUGUGUACUUGACAAGUGUACAUUUAUUACACGCGUCAACUUGUUGUGGUACCCUCUUUUUUUCCUUGCUUUCACAUUGUGUGUAUCUAGUACUGGUCAACCUCAGCGGCUCAUCCUGCUCCAGCCCUAACAAACUAUGCCAUUGAAGGAGCAGGAGCAGAAGCGUGGUCCACUGUUUCUUCUUCCCUCCAUUCCAGCUCACUCCAUCAACACUUACCCGCCAUGUCCAUUGAAGCAGCGUCAAAUCAGGAUCCUUAUAUACUGUCAUGUCUUUUUUAGUUCUAUAGGAUUUGGAAUGAAUUCAGAUUUUUCACCUGUUAUCUUGUUGCCAUUUUUUAAUGUUCUUAUGGUGUGAGCUCAAUUAUAUACAACUAGCAAAAGCACGAUUUUCAAACUUGAGUUAUGCAAAAACUUUAUCAAGGACGAUGAUGAUGAAUGAUGGAAUAGCAAAAGCAGUGGUCUUUUUGUUCCCUUUUUCACCUUUUUAACUUUCUUCUGUUUUUAUAUUUUCUUCAUUGUCAAUGGAAGUAAUCGUUGCCUUUUGGUUGUGCA
This is a long non-coding RNA of Neltuma alba, 615 nucleotides long. RefSeq lists it as uncharacterized. The record is from RefSeq and is a predicted model, not a curated record. NCBI's taxonomy places the organism in Eukaryota, Viridiplantae, Streptophyta, Magnoliopsida, Fabales, Fabaceae. The transcript is spliced from 3 exons.